Molecule: long non-coding RNA, 503 nt
Organism: Dendroctonus ponderosae (mountain pine beetle)
Lineage: Eukaryota; Metazoa; Arthropoda; Insecta; Coleoptera; Curculionidae
Exons: 2
Source: RefSeq, a predicted model, not a curated record
UGGACACUCUGUAUAUUACAGCGAGAACUUAGAGGACGUUUUUGGUAACUCCUGCAAUUUCUGAAAGGGUCUUCCGGGUAAAAUGGUGCAAGAAGUCACCCUUUGAACCCCUAGAUCGCGCUUAAAGAACGCAAGUAGUGGACGCUUUUCCAUGGACAAAUCUUUGAGGAUUUUUCAUCAUUUUCAGUUGAUGUGCUCGAUUCGACGCCGCAAAGGCCACUGAUGUUCAAACGGUUUGAGGAGGGCAAAAGAGGACACUUGGAUGGAAGCGCUUCAACCGUGAUUAGCAGAUUGCAAACCUGCGCUGCUCAGGAGGACUGAAGAGGCUGGAACUAUUUGUUCAUUGGCUCAUCCUCAAACGUAUACGGGGACUAGAAAUGAUCAUGUGGCUGAGGAAAAUUACGCUGGGGAGGAUUUUGAGGGCAAAGAAAACCGUCUGCAGCUGCUAGUUGAAACAUUUAAUAGAUUGAAACAAUCGUUACUAAACUAAAGAUAGAGGACUU